Molecule: long non-coding RNA, 1250 nt
Organism: Megalobrama amblycephala (Wuchang bream)
Lineage: Eukaryota; Metazoa; Chordata; Actinopteri; Cypriniformes; Xenocyprididae
Exons: 3
Source: RefSeq, a predicted model, not a curated record
GCCCCUCCUACACUGCAAGAACCAACCAGAUCUACUUGUGUUAAAGCCUAGGUGGCACUGAUGUGCAGUCAAGACCUAUAAAGCUGCAGAGCUCACAGAUGAAUUCUCACAUUCUGGCAUUACAGGAAGAGUGUUCAUCGUACAAGUUAUGAACAGGAAUCCCACUACAUCAUUUUCAGCUUUUUGUGCCAUGCUCUAAAUUUAUCUUCGAUUACCUCAUCAAUGCUAUUAUAAUAGGACAGUUCUAGGAGUCUUGGGGGGGGGGGUCCCGCCUGACCCUGUAUGAGUGCUGCUAAGACCUGAGAAUUGGAUUACAGCUUAUCCAUAUCAGCAGCUGUAGCUUCCUAACAAAGCUUGUGGGCCCCUGGGCAUAUUUCAAGCAAGCCAGAAUUCACCAAGGACACUCCUAACUGGAAAAGUGGAAUGGCAGAGGAAAAUCUGGUGCCAUAAUCCUCUUUCCCCACACCACAUUACCUGAUGCUCCAGCAUACUGACUGACUAACACUACACAUAAAGAAUAAGAGGAAUGCUGCAAACCAGUGUGGGCCUUGUCUUAACAUGUAUCUCUGCAUUUGAAAGGAGUUAAGGCAUGUCAACACGCAAGAGGUCCCGAGGGACUGAGACGAUGGUGCCUUUGUGUGGAUGGAACUGUCAAGAUGAAAGAUUCUCUCCCUCAAACUUUAAACAUCACAGAAUCCUAUGAAGGUAGACUCAAAUGUAAGAAAACGAUUGCUAUUUUUCCUCAGUGAUCGGGUCAGAUGCCACCCUGCCCACCUUCUCAGAAUGACUGGUCGUAUUUGUUCAUCUACAGGGCUGACUGACCUCAUAAAAACAAGAAAUUACAUCUACUGAAGUAUCAAAGGUCUGCAUUGCUUAAUGACCUUUACUUGAACCAUAGACAAAUAAAGCCAGACUCUCUGUUUCAGGUGCUGCCAAGGCUGUAUGGCUCUCCUGUAUUUGAUGUCUGCUUAAGUUAUGUAUGGGAAUAGGGCAGGGUGAACCGUCUGUGGUAAGACUGGCUGUCUGCUUUCCGAAACACAUGACGGCAAAGGUAGCAGGAUACCCUGGGACAGAAGCGUGUAGUAACCAUGGCAGCUUUCUAUUUCAAGUGCUCUGACAUCACCUAGUGGUGAGAUCUGUAAUAUUCCUCAAUCUGCCAUAUGUUCUGUGAUGACAUUGAAUUAUGAAAACUAUGAAAUGUGAUACAACAGUGAGAUGUGGAAAAGGCUAUUUGGAUCCAUUAACCUCAA